CCUACGGGCGGCAGCAGUGAGGAAUAUUGGUCAAUGGGCGCGAGCCUGAACCAGCCAAGUAGCGUGAAGGAUGACUGCCCUACGGGUUGUAAACUUCUUUUAUAAAGGAAUAAAGUGAGGCACGUGGGCCUGUUUGUAUGUACGUUAUGAAUAAGGAUCGGCUAACUCCGUGCCAGCAGCCGCGGUAAUACGGAGGAUCCGAGCGUUAUCCGGAUUUAGUGGGUUUACAGGGAGCGUAGCUGGGUUGUUAAGUCAGUUGUGAAAGUUUGCGGCUCAACCGUAAAAUUGCACUUGAUACUUGCAGUCUUGAUUACAGUUGCGGUAGGCGGACUUCGUGUUGUAGCGG
RNAcentral lists this ribosomal RNA (346 nucleotides) under uncultured bacterium. RNAcentral's name for it is "partial 16S ribosomal RNA". It matches the Rfam family "Bacterial small subunit ribosomal RNA", at positions 338 to 681 of the family's 1533-position model. The record is from RNAcentral.